CGGGACGGGUGAGUAAUGUCUAGGGAAACUGCCUGAUGGGAGGGGAUAACUACGAGGAACGGACUAAUACCGCAUAACGUCGCAAGACCAAAGAGGGGGACCUUCGGGCCUCUUGCCAUCGGAUGUGCCCAGAUGGGAUUAGCUAGUAGGUGGGGUAACGGCUCACCUAGGCGACGAUCCCUAGCUGGUCUGAGAGGAUGACCAGCCACACUGGAACUGAGACACGGUCCAG
RNAcentral lists this ribosomal RNA (232 nucleotides) under uncultured bacterium. RNAcentral's name for it is "partial 16S ribosomal RNA". It matches the Rfam family "Bacterial small subunit ribosomal RNA", at positions 100 to 334 of the family's 1533-position model. The record is from RNAcentral.